UACGUAGGCACCAAGCGUUGUCCGGAUUUAUUGGGCGUAAAGAGCUCGUAGGCGGUUCAGUUAGUCGGGUGUGAAAACUUCGGGCUUAACCCGAAGACUGCAUCCGAUACUGCUGUGACUUGAGUUCGGUAGGGGAGUGGGGAAUUCCUAGUGUAGCGGUGAAAUGCGCAGAUAUUAGGAGGAACACCGGUGGCGAAGGCGCCACUCUGGGCCGAUACUGACGCUGAGGAGCGAAAGCGUGGGGAGCGAACAGG
RNAcentral lists this ribosomal RNA (254 nucleotides) under uncultured bacterium. RNAcentral's name for it is "partial 16S ribosomal RNA". It matches the Rfam family "Bacterial small subunit ribosomal RNA", at positions 524 to 776 of the family's 1533-position model. The record is from RNAcentral.